CGUUCCCUAGCUGGUUUGAGAGGAGGAUCAGCCACACUGGGACUGAGACACGGCCCAGACUCCUACGGGAGGCAGCAGUGGGGAAUAUUGCACAAUGGGCGCAAGCCUGAUGCAGCCAUGCCGCGUGUGUGAAGAAGGCCUUCGGGUUGUAAAGCACUUUCAUUCAGGAGGAAAGGUUAGUAGUUAAUACCUGCUAGUUGUGACGUUACUGACAGAAGAAGCACCGGCUAACUCCGUGCCAGCAGCCGCGGUAAUACGGAGGGUGCGAGCGUUAAUCGGAAUUACUGGGCGUAAAGCGUACGCAGGCGGUUUGGUAAGCGAGAUGUGAAAUCCCCGGGCUCAACCUGGGAACUGCAUUUGGAACUGGCAAACUAGAGUGUGUAAAGGGUGGUAGAAUUUCAGGUGUAGCGGUGAAAUGUGAUUUUCUGGAGGAAUACCGAUGGCGAAGGCAGCCACCUUGGGUCAACACUGACGUUCAAGCACGAAAGG
RNAcentral lists this ribosomal RNA (489 nucleotides) under bacterium ER-Te-63. RNAcentral describes it as "bacterial SSU rRNA". It matches the Rfam family "Bacterial small subunit ribosomal RNA", at positions 277 to 760 of the family's 1533-position model. The record is from RNAcentral.